This 305-nucleotide ribosomal RNA is filed under the name uncultured bacterium. RNAcentral describes it as "bacterial SSU rRNA". It matches the Rfam family "Bacterial small subunit ribosomal RNA", at positions 334 to 636 of the family's 1533-position model. The record is from RNAcentral.
UUUGCUUACGGGGCGCAGCAGUGAGGAAUAUUGGUCAAUGGCCGGAAUGCUGAACCAGCCAUGCCGCGUGAAGGUCAGUGCCCUAUGGGCGUUAAACUUCUUUUGUGCGGGAGCAAUAAUGGUCACGUGUGGCCAGACGAGAGUACCGUACGAAUAAGCAUCGGCUAACUCCGUGCCAGCAGCCGCGGUAAUACGGGGGAUGCAAGCGUUAUCCGGAUUUAUUGGUUUUAAAGGGUGCGUAGGCUGUGAGGUACGUCAGCGGUGAAAUGCCCCCGCUCAACGGGGCGAAGUGCCAUUGAUACUGC